GUCGAGAAUCUUUCACAAUGGGGGCAACCCUGAUGGAGCGACGCCGCGUGGAGGAUAAGGUCUUCGGAUUGUAAACUCCUGUCAUGCGUGAACAAGGUUGCUUGGUUAAUACCUGGGCAAAUUGAUGGUAACGCAAGAGGAAGAGACGGCUAACUCUGUGCCAGCAGCCGCGGUAAUACAGAGGUCUCAAGCGUUGUUCGGAAUCACUGGGCGUAAAGGGUGCGUAGGUGGCGUGGUAAGUCAGAUGUGAAAGCCCGGGGCUCAACCUCGGAACUGCAGCCGAUACUGCCAUGCUAGAGUACUGGAGAGGUGACUAGAAUUCUCGGGGUAGCAGUGAAAUGCGUAGAUAUCGAGAGGAAUACCAAAGGCGUAGGCAGGUCACUGGACAGUUACUGACACUGAGGCACGAAGGCCAGGGGAGCGAACGGGAUUAGAUACCCGAGUAGUCC
This 449-nucleotide ribosomal RNA is filed under the name uncultured bacterium. Its description in RNAcentral is "partial 16S ribosomal RNA". It matches the Rfam family "Bacterial small subunit ribosomal RNA", at positions 354 to 796 of the family's 1533-position model. The record is from RNAcentral.